This 530-nucleotide ribosomal RNA is filed under the name Hydractinia polyclina. Its description in RNAcentral is "partial 16S ribosomal RNA". It matches the Rfam family "Bacterial large subunit ribosomal RNA", at positions 1858 to 2560 of the family's 2925-position model. The record is from RNAcentral. Lineage: Eukaryota; Metazoa; Cnidaria; Hydrozoa; Anthoathecata; Hydractiniidae.
CCUGCCCAAUGAUCUUAAACUUAAAAAAUAUAACUAUUUUUAAAAAGAUUUAAAGGACGCAGUAUCCUGACUGUGAUAAUGUAGCAUAAUCAUUCGCCAUUUAAUUGAUGGAUAGUAUGAAUGGUUGAACGAAUUCUUCACUGUCUUAAAAAAAGAAAUAAUGAAAUUUAAAUAAUAGUAAAGAUGCUAUUUAAAAUUGUAAGACGAAAAGACCCUAUAGAGCUUAACUAUAAGUUCUUUUAGUUAAAAGAAAAUAAUUCUCAAAAUAAAGAACUUGGUAGUUUAGUUGGGGCGACUAUCUUCUAAUAUUAACGAAGACAAGCAAAAUUAAUAUAUAAUUUAUUGUAUAACCUAUAAGUUUAACAAUUACAAAAGUAGGCAUAAUGACCCGUUUUCAUUUAGUAAUUAAAGAAAACGAUCAAUAAAUAAAAGCUACCUUAGGGAUAACAGGAUAAUUUUGUUUUAGAGAUCCUAUCGAAAACAAAGUUUGUCACCUCUAUGUUGAAUUAAGAUAUCCUAGUAAUGCAGAA